UACGGAGGGUGCAAGCGUUGUCCGGAUUUACUGGGUGUAAAGGGCGUGUAGGCGGAGAGAUGUGUCGGGAGUGAAAUCGUGCGGCUUAACCGUAUCAAUUGCUUCCGAAACUGUCUCCCUUGAGUGCUAGAGGGGCAGAUGGAAUUCCUGGUGUAGCGGUGGAAUGCGUAGAUAUCAGGAAGAACACCCGUGGCGAAGGCGGUCUGCUGGCUAGAUACUGACGCUGAGGCGCGAAAGUGCGGGGAGCAAACAGG
Molecule: ribosomal RNA, 254 nt
Filed under: uncultured bacterium
Lineage: Bacteria
Description: partial 16S ribosomal RNA
Rfam family: Bacterial small subunit ribosomal RNA
Source: RNAcentral